GACGAACGCUGGCGGCGUGCUUAACACAUGCAAGUCGAACGGUAAGGCCCUUCGGGGUACACGAGUGGCGAACGGGUGAGUAACACGUGGGCAACCUGCCUCAUAGAGGGGGAUAGCCUCCUGAAAGGGAGAUUAAUACAGCAUAAAAUUAUCGAGUGGCAUCACAUGAUAAUCAAAGGAGUAAUCCGCUAUGAGAUGGGCCCGCGGCGCAUUCGCUAGUUGGUGAGGUAACGGCUCACCAAGGCGACGAUGCGUAGCCGACCUGAGAGGGUGAUCGGCCACAUUGGGACUGAGACACGGCCCAGACUCCUACGGGAGGCAGCAGUGGGGAAUAUUGCACAAUGGGGGAAACCCUGAUGCAGCAACGCCGCGUGAGUGAUGAAGGUCUUCGGAUUGUAAAGCUCAGUCUUUGGGGACGAUAAUGACGGUACCCAAGGAGGAAGCCACGGCUAACUACGUGCCAGCCGCCGCGGUAA
This 476-nucleotide ribosomal RNA is filed under the name uncultured bacterium. Its description in RNAcentral is "partial 16S ribosomal RNA". It matches the Rfam family "Bacterial small subunit ribosomal RNA", at positions 28 to 523 of the family's 1533-position model. The record is from RNAcentral.